UACGAAGGGGGCUAGCGUUGCUCGGAAUCACUGGGCGUAAAGGGUGCGUAGGCGGGUCUUUAAGUCAGGGGUGAAAUCCUGGAGCUCAACUCCAGAACUGCCUUUGAUACUGAAGAUCUUGAGUUCGGGAGAGGUGAGUGGAACUGCGAGUGUAGAGGUGAAAUUCGUAGAUAUUCGCAAGAACACCAGUGGCGAAGGCGGGGCUCUGGACAGUUACUGACGCUGAGGCGCGAAGGUCAGGGGAGCAAACGGG
This 253-nucleotide ribosomal RNA is filed under the name uncultured bacterium. RNAcentral's name for it is "partial 16S ribosomal RNA". It matches the Rfam family "Bacterial small subunit ribosomal RNA", at positions 524 to 776 of the family's 1533-position model. The record is from RNAcentral.